This 428-nucleotide ribosomal RNA is filed under the name uncultured prokaryote. RNAcentral's name for it is "bacterial SSU rRNA". It matches the Rfam family "Bacterial small subunit ribosomal RNA", at positions 355 to 774 of the family's 1533-position model. The record is from RNAcentral.
UGAGGAAUUUUGCGCAAUGGGAGCAAUCCUGACGCAGCAACGCCGCGUGGGUGAUGAAGGCCUUCGGGUCGUAAAGCCCUGUCAGGUGGGAAGAAUGUCCCGGGACUGAACAGGUUCCGGGAGUGACGGUACCACCAGAGGAAGCACCGGCUAACUCCGUGCCAGCAGCCGCGGUAAUACGGAGGGUGCAAGCGUUAUUCGGAAUUCCUGGGCGUAAAGCGCGUGUAGGCGGUCCUGCAAGUCGGAGGUGAAAGCCCCGGGCUUAACCCGGGAAGUGCAUUGGAAACUGUGGGACUUGAGUACUGGAGAGGAUGGGGGAAUUCCCGGUGUAGAGGUGAAAUUCGUAGAGAUCGGGAGGAAUAUCAGUGGCGAAGGCGCCCAUCUGGACGGUAACUGACGCUGAGACGCGAAAGCGUGGGGAGCAAACA